Molecule: long non-coding RNA, 772 nt
Organism: Helianthus annuus (common sunflower)
Lineage: Eukaryota; Viridiplantae; Streptophyta; Magnoliopsida; Asterales; Asteraceae
Exons: 3
Source: RefSeq, a predicted model, not a curated record
CGGGCGGGUGGCUGGGCUGUGAAAAAUAUAUGUUAACUGACACGGCCGGGUGACUUUUUGACACGGCCGGGUGAAGGGGCUGAAAACAAAACAAAAAUAAUUUCUUGUUUUGUUACGUUAAGCACGGAACUUGUUUAUACUCGAUUAUUAAAGUGUCAAAACUAAUUAUUUACAUGGUUUUGACCGUAGGUGAAGAUGGGAUAAGCGGUUUGAAAGAUACGAAAGUUUUCGUGCAAAUAAACGGCAAAAUAGGAAAGCUGGAAUGCAGGGGCCACCGUAACUUACGGUGCCACCGUAAGUUACGGUGGAGCUGAAGGCUUUACGGCAGCCCCCUACUGAUUUACGGUAGGGGCAUGUCACACCAGGGGCCACCGUAACUUACGGUGCCACCGUAAGUUACGGUGGAGGCCAGUUGGAAAUCCAUGUUUUGAGAUCAAAAGUUUAACGUUCUUUUUGGAUGCCGGAAGACGAUCAAGCUCAUCGAAGGACCGAACACGAUAAAGAUACAUGCUUCCGCACAUUUCCUCGUCGUAAAUUUUUAAACGACAAAUUCGAUCACUUAUGUUGAAUAACUUAUGAUUUGUAAAAGUUUUAAUAAACUCGUAUUUUCAUAGUAUGUGUAAACUUAAUUACACAUACUAAUUGUUGGUAUUACACAUAAAAUCGCUUAAUAGUAACUAGGGUGUUACAUCGAGCAGCGGCGAAUUCCGGCGAUUUUACUUCAAAUCGAGAAAUCGGCUCACCACCAUCACCUCUCCGGUCACCACCUCGU